UCAGAAACCUCGAUCAAUAUCCGCUCACGUGAUCCCAAAUGGGAACCAUAGCAACUGUGAUUUACUGCUAUGAAAAUACUGAAAAAGCUUUAAACAUAUAAUUAAAGGCCUCGUACUAAUUGAUGCAGUACCUCUGCGGACCACUGGGUGUUGACAGCCACUGCAAUAAAGGGCUUUCGGACCAGUAAAGAACUAAAACUGAUAGAGCCAAAUAUCUACACGAGGACUUGGAAUUAGUAAAUUCAGAAAUCAGUGCUCUUCAAAAAGCCUGAUCUCACAGGACGUUACACCAUAACAUCCCUCUAGUAACAGCAUUCAUCUUUCUUCACAUGACACGGCCAAGCAUGCUCAUGUCAUGCUCCAGGGACUCUCCUUCUGGGAGGAUUUUCUCCCUGCCUUUCCUAUCUACUGAUAUCUGCCCUUUUCCUAGUAUCUGAUCCACCCUGAGGAAAAAAACAAACAA
Long non-coding RNA from Megalobrama amblycephala (Wuchang bream), 463 nucleotides. RefSeq lists it as uncharacterized. The transcript is spliced from 4 exons. The record is from RefSeq and is a predicted model, not a curated record. NCBI's taxonomy places the organism in Eukaryota, Metazoa, Chordata, Actinopteri, Cypriniformes, Xenocyprididae.